Fukomys damarensis (Damara mole-rat) is the source of this 241-nucleotide long non-coding RNA. RefSeq lists it as uncharacterized. The transcript is spliced from 3 exons. The record is from RefSeq and is a predicted model, not a curated record. Lineage: Eukaryota; Metazoa; Chordata; Mammalia; Rodentia; Bathyergidae.
AGCCACUGUGACAUCUCCCAGACCAGGACCUUCACCAGUGCCCAUGAAAGGCUGUGUAACUUCCAGCCUCCAAAACUGUACUUCCAGGAAAGGCACCAGAAGAUUUAAGGAUGCGAAUGACGUCACAAGAGGAAGCUUUGCUGGGACCUCCAAGGCUACGACAGAAUUCACCAGGCAGAGAGGAAACAGCAAUAAUGGUGGAUAACAGUGGCCAUGACCAUAUCCUAGAACAGUCCAUGCA